CCUACGGGAGGCAGCAGUGGGGAAUAUUGCACAAUGGGGGAAACCCUGAUGCAGCGACGCCGCGUGAGUGAAGAAGUAUUUCGGUAUGUAAAGCUCUAUCAGCAGGGAAGAAGCAAGUCGGUACCUGUCUAAGAAGCCCCGGCUAACUACGGGCCAGCAGCCGCGGUAAUACGUAGGGGGCAAGAGUUUUCCGGAUUUAUUGGGGGUAAAGGGAGCGUAGACGGGAUGGCAAGUCUGGAGUGAAAGCCCAGGGCUUAACCCUUGGACUGCUUUGGAAACUGUUAGACUAGAGUGCUGGAGAGGUAAGUGGAAUUCCUAGUGUAGCGGUGAAAUGCGUAGAUAUUAGGAGGAACACCAGUGGCGAAGUCGGCUUGCUGGACAGUAACUGACGUUGAGGCUCGAAAGCGUGGGGAGCAAACAGGAUUAGAUACCCCGGUAGUC
This 441-nucleotide ribosomal RNA is filed under the name uncultured bacterium. RNAcentral's name for it is "partial 16S ribosomal RNA". It matches the Rfam family "Bacterial small subunit ribosomal RNA", at positions 338 to 795 of the family's 1533-position model. The record is from RNAcentral.